UUUUUUAAGUCUGAUGUGAAAGCCUUCGGCUUAACCGGAGAAGUGCAUCGGAAACUGGGAGACUUGAGUGCAGAAGAGGACAGUGGAACUCCAUGUGUAGCGGUGGAAUGCGUAGAUAUAUGGAAGAACACCAGUGGCGAAGGCGGCUGUCUAGUCUGUAACUGACGCUGAGGCUCGAAAGCAUGGGUAGCGAACAGGAUUAGAUACCCUGGUAGUCCAUGCCGUAAACGAUGAGUGCUAAGUGUUGGAGGGUUUCCGCCCUUCAGUGCUGCAGCUAACGCAUUAAGCACUCCGCCUGGGGAGUACGACCGCAAGGUUGAAACUCAAAGGAAUUGACGGGGGCCCGCACAAGCGGUGGAGCAUGUGGUUUAAUUCGAAGCUACGCGAAGAACCUUACCAGGUCUUGACAUCUUCUGCCAAUCUUAGAGAUAAGACGUUCCCUUCGGGGACAGAAUGACAGGUGGUGCAUGGUUGUCGUCAGCUCGUGUCGUGAGAUGUUGGGUUAAGUCCCGCAACGAGCGCAACCCUUAUUAUCAGUUGCCAGCAUUCAGUUGGGCACUCUGGUGAGACUGCCGGUGACAAACCGGAGGAAGGUGGGGAUGACGUCAAAUCAUCAUGCCCCUUAUGACCUGGGCUACACACGUGCUACAAUGGACGGUACAACGAGUCGCGAAGUCGUGAGGCUAAGCUAAUCUCUUAAAGCCGUUCUCAGUUCGGAUUGUAGGCUGCAACUCGCCUACAUGAAGUUGGAAUCGCUAGUAAUCGCGGAUCAGCAUGCCGCGGUGAAUACGUUCCCGGGCCUUGUACACACCGCCCGUCACACCAUGAGAGUUUGUAACACCCAAAGCCGGUGAG
This 855-nucleotide ribosomal RNA is filed under the name Levilactobacillus brevis. RNAcentral's name for it is "bacterial SSU rRNA". It matches the Rfam family "Bacterial small subunit ribosomal RNA", at positions 579 to 1434 of the family's 1533-position model. The record is from RNAcentral. Lineage: Bacteria; Bacillati; Bacillota; Bacilli; Lactobacillales; Lactobacillaceae.